CCUACGGGUGGCAGCAGUGAGGAAUAUUGGUCAAUGGCCGGAAGGCUGAACCAGCCAUGCCGCGUGAAGGUCAGUGCCCUAUGGGCGUUAAACUUCUUUUGUGCGGGAGCAAUAAUGGUCACGUGUGGCCAGACGAGAGUACCGUACGAAUAAGCAUCGGCUAACUCCGUGCCAGCAGGCGCGGUAAUACGGGGGAUGCAAGCGUUUUCCGGAUUUAUUGGGUUUUAAGGGUGCGUAGGCUGUGAGGUAAGUCAGCGGUGAAAUGCCCGCGGUCAACGGGGUGAAGUGCCAUUGAUACUGGCAUGCUGGAGUGCGGAUGAGGUGGGAGGAAUGUGUGGUGUAGCGGUGAAAUGCAUAGAUAUCACACAGAACACCGAUUGCGAAGGCAUCUCGCGAAUCCGCGAUUGACGCUGAUGCACGAAAGCGUGGGUAUCAAACAGGAUUAGAUACCCUGGUAGUC
This 460-nucleotide ribosomal RNA is filed under the name uncultured bacterium. RNAcentral describes it as "partial 16S ribosomal RNA". It matches the Rfam family "Bacterial small subunit ribosomal RNA", at positions 338 to 795 of the family's 1533-position model. The record is from RNAcentral.